CCUACGGGUGGCAGCAGUAGGGAAUCUUCCACAAUGGGCGAAAGCCUGAUGGAGCAACGCCGCGUGGGUGAAGAAGGUCUUCGGAUCGUAAAACCCUGUUGUUAGAGAAGAAAGUGAGUGAGAGUAACUGUUAACGUUUCGCCGGUAUCUAACCAGAAAGCCACGGCUAACUAAGUGACAGCAGCCGCGGUAAUUCGGAGGAUGCGAACGUUAGCCGGAUUUAUUGGGGUUAAAGGGUGCGCAGGCGCAGGUGCAAGUCAGUGGUCAAAUGGCGGGGCUCAACCCCGUACUGCCGUUGAAACUGCAUACCUUGAGUGCGCGAGAAGUAUGCGGAAUGCGUGGUGUAGCGGUGAAAUGCAUAGAUAUCACGCAGAACUCCGAUUGCGAAGGCAGCAUACCGGCGCGCAACUGACGCUCAUGCACGAAAGCGUGGGUAUCGAACAGGAUUAGAUACCCCAGUAGUC
This 464-nucleotide ribosomal RNA is filed under the name uncultured bacterium. RNAcentral describes it as "partial 16S ribosomal RNA". It matches the Rfam family "Bacterial small subunit ribosomal RNA", at positions 338 to 795 of the family's 1533-position model. The record is from RNAcentral.